Molecule: ribosomal RNA, 474 nt
Filed under: uncultured bacterium
Lineage: Bacteria
Description: partial 16S ribosomal RNA
Rfam family: Bacterial small subunit ribosomal RNA
Source: RNAcentral
GACGAACGCUGGCGGCGUGCUUAACACAUGCAAGUCGAACGGUAAGGCCCUUCGGGGUACCCGAGUGGCGAACGGGUGAGUAACACGUGGGUAAUCUGCCCAGCACAUCGGGAUAAGCCUGGGAAACUGGGUCUAAUACCGAAUAGGACCACAGGACACAUGUCCUGUGGUGGAAAGCUUUUGCGGUGUGGGAUGGGCCCGCGGCCUAUCAGCUUGUUGGUGGGGUGAUGGCCUACCAAGGCGACGACGGGUAGCCGGCCUGAGAGGGUGUCCGGCCACACUGGGACUGAGAUACGGCCCAGACUCCGACGGGAGGCAGCAGUGGGGAAUAUUGCACAAUGGGCGAAAGCCUGAUGCAGCGACGCCGCGUGGGGGAUGACGGCCUUCGGGUUGUAAACCUCUUUCACCAUCGACGAAGGUCCGGGUUUUCUCGGGCUGACGGUAGGUGGAGAAGAAGCACCGGCCAACUACGUG